UACGUAGGGGGCAAGCGUUGUCCGGAAUUAUUGGGCGUAAAGAGCUCGUAGGCGGUUUGUCGCGUCUGCUGUGAAAUCUGGGGGCUCAACCCCCAGCCUGCAGUGGGUACUGGCAGACUAGAGUGCGGUAGGGGAGAUUGGAAUUCCUGGUGUAGCGGUGGAAUGCGCAGAUAUCAGGAAGAACACCCGUGGCUAAGGCGGCUCUCUAGUACGGUACUGACGCUGAGACGCGAAAGCGUGGGGAGCGAACAGG
Molecule: ribosomal RNA, 253 nt
Filed under: uncultured bacterium
Lineage: Bacteria
Description: partial 16S ribosomal RNA
Rfam family: Bacterial small subunit ribosomal RNA
Source: RNAcentral